RNAcentral lists this transfer RNA (73 nucleotides) under Ailuropoda melanoleuca (giant panda). It matches the Rfam family "tRNA". From Rfam's summary of the family: Transfer RNA (tRNA) molecules are approximately 80 nucleotides in length. The record is from Rfam by way of RNAcentral. Lineage: Eukaryota; Metazoa; Chordata; Mammalia; Carnivora; Ursidae.
GCCUGGCUGGCUCAAUCGGUAGAGCAUGUGACUCUCGAUCUCAGGGUCAUGAGUUCAAGCCCCAUGUUGGGUG